Arachis duranensis is the source of this 479-nucleotide long non-coding RNA. RefSeq lists it as uncharacterized. NCBI's taxonomy places the organism in Eukaryota, Viridiplantae, Streptophyta, Magnoliopsida, Fabales, Fabaceae. The transcript has 3 exons. The record is from RefSeq and is a predicted model, not a curated record.
GUGUUUAGGGAUACUCCAACAUGGAUUCUAAGUGGGUUCUAUCCCUACUUCAUAUGGGCUGAGUGCAUUUGAUGGUUUUGGUGCACAAUUGGGAGAUUGGUGUUGCUUGAGGAGCUUUGGUGAGGCUUAGGGCUAAGGUUGGUGGAGACUUCCAAAGAAGAGGCUCAAUUGAUUUGGCUACAAGAGAUACAGGUCCAGGUGCUCAGAAGUGAGCUGUGGUUCGUCUGAGAGCCGGCGAAGAUCUUUAUUUUCUCUACUUUGUGUUUUGCUUAGAAUCUCUCCACCUUUGUUUUGAAGAUAUUAUAUUAUGUGUUGAACUCUUUUGGGACUUGCCUAUAGAGGCUCUUAUGUUUCCUUUGGGAGAGAUUAGGAUGUUCUGUUGUCAACUACUUUCAUACUGUACCCUAGCCGGCCUAAACUUCGCGGGUCGCGACUAGUGGCUAUUUACUUAUGUUAUAUAUAUCUAUCUGUUAUCUAUC